RNAcentral lists this ribosomal RNA (1684 nucleotides) under Marginopora vertebralis. Its description in RNAcentral is "SSU rRNA". It matches the Rfam family "Eukaryotic small subunit ribosomal RNA", at positions 76 to 1451 of the family's 1831-position model. The record is from RNAcentral. Lineage: Eukaryota; Foraminifera; Miliolida; Soritidae.
UACUAAUGCAACUGCGAAUAGCUGUUUAAUACAGUCGUAAUUGUAUUGACUUAAUAUAUAAUGUUAAUAAUACAGUUAUUUAUAGGAUAACUAAGGGAAAGUUUGGCUAAUACGUUUUUUUAGUAUUAAUUCUUAAUACACAUAUAAUAAUAUUAUAAUAUGAUAAAUAUUAUAUAAAUAUUUUAAUACAUAAAUAUUUGUAUUAAUAUAUAGAGUUGACUUUAUAAUAUUUAUUUAUUAUAAAGCAUGUCAAACAAGCAUCUAUAGCAUCAAGUCACAAUGUUGGCAUGUGUAUUAUUGAACCUUCAAAGCAUUUACGCAUUCGGAGGAGUAGUUUCUGAUCCCGUCGAAGGUGCCUGAGAGACGGCACUUAGUUCUAAGGAACGCAGCAGGCGCGUAAAUUGCCCAAUGACAAAACAUGUUAUAAAAUACAUAAUGUAUAUAGAAUACUCAAUAUUUAAUUGAGGCAGUGACAAGCUGUAAAGAUUGAAUAUAUUAAUUAAGAUAACAUUUGGAAUUGUCGUUUUAUAAUAUUUUUUAAUAUUAUAUUACUUGAUAAUAUACCAAUGUUAUAAAAUAUUCAAUUUGAAUGCGGUGAAUGUAAUAAUUUCAAGUAACAUGUAUAAAAUAUUUAUAUUUUAUUAGUUAUCUGAAUUUUCAAGUGGAGGGCAAGUCUGGUGCCAGCAGCCGCGGUAAUACCAGCUCCACUAGCUUAUACAAUCAUUGUUGCGGUUAAGAGGCUCGUAGUUGGAUUGAAUAAACAUAUAUACACAAUACUGUGAACAAACCAGAGUGUAUAAAACAUGUAAUAUAUUAUAUAUUUAGCAAUGAAUGUUUUAUCAUGGAAUAUUGCUAUAAUGAAUAUUAAUAUCGAUGGAGAUAGUUGGAGUUAAGAGUACUGAUAGGCGAGCGGUGAAAUGCAUUGACCCUAUUAAGACUAACAAAAGCGAAAGCACUUAACUAGAUUAUUCUCUUUGUAUUAUUUUACAAUGAAGAGCGAAGGUUGGGGGAACAAAGAGGAUCAGAUACCCUCGUAGUCCUAUUUUUACAUCAAACUAUGGGAUUUCAUUCACACUAAACACUAAACAUUAUAAUUAUAAUUAUGAUUGAGUAUAUGUCAAAAUAUUACUCUCAUAUUAAAUAAUUAUUAUAAUAUAUGAUUAUAUGUACUUUGAGCUCAUAUAAUUAUAUAGGUGAGAUGUAAGCAUUAUAAAGUGAAUAAUAUACAAGUAAUAUUGUAUUAUUAUGAUCUUUAAAAUAAAAAAUGUAAUGUGAUGCACGUUUUAGGUACGAGCUUACUAUAGAAAUAUUUAAAAUAAUACCCUCCUGNNNNNNNNNNNACGCACGUGUGAAACUUGAAGGAAUUGACGGAAGGGCACCACAAGAACGCGUGGAGCAUGUGGCUUAAUUUGACUCAACCCGGGAAAUCUUACCAGGUCCAGACAUAUUGAGGAUUGACAGGCGAUAGUAUAUAAUUCAUUUAUAUGCAUAAAAAUGAUAGUCCUUUCAUGAUUAUAUGAUAGGUGGUGCAUGGCCGUUCUUAGUUCGUGGAGUGAUUUGUCUGCUUAAUUGCGUUUCAGUAAAUAAAAUAUAUAAUAUAUUAUAAUAUUUAGUUCUGCCAUGCAUAAUAUGUAUGGAUUUAAAGUGAACAUAUUAUAUAUAUUAUUAUAUAAUAAAUGAAUGC